This 2222-nucleotide ribosomal RNA is filed under the name human gut metagenome. RNAcentral's name for it is "bacterial LSU rRNA". It matches the Rfam family "Bacterial large subunit ribosomal RNA", at positions 174 to 2430 of the family's 2925-position model. The record is from RNAcentral.
AGGAAGGGAACCCGGUGAACUGAAACAUCUAAGUAGCCGGAGGAAGAGAAAACAACAUGUGAUUCUGUGAGUAGCGGCGAGCGAAAACGGAAGAGCCCAAACCAGCGUGCGUGCAUGCUGGGGUUCGGACCGCGGAAUUGAUUCAACGAGUUUAGCAGAACGGUUUUGGGAAAGCCGGCCAGAGAGGGUGAAAGCCCCGUAAGCGAAAGACGAGUUGACAUGGCGGGAUCCAGAGUACCACGAGACACGUGGAACCUUGUGGGAAGAUGCGGGGACCACCCCGUAAGGCUAAAUACUACUUAGUGACCGAUAGCGCAUAGUACUGUGAAGGAAAGGUGAAAAGGACCCCGGGAGGGGAGUGAAAAAGAACCUGAAACCAUAUGUUUACAAGCUGUGGAAGAGCUUUAUAUGCUCAACCGCGUACUUUUUGUAGAACGGUCCGGCGAGUUACGCUGGCUGGCGAGGUUAAGGACUAAAGGUCCGGAGCCGAAGGGAAACCAAGUCUGAAUAGGGCGCAUAGUCAGUCGGAGUAGACCCGAAACCGGGUGAUCUAUCCAUGUCCAGGUUGAAGUUGCCGUAAAAGGCAAUGGAGGACCGAACCCACAUCCGUUGAAAAGGGUGGGGAUGAGGUGUGGAUAGGGGAGAAAUUCCAAUCGAACCCGGAGAUAGCUGGUUCUCCUCGAAAUAGCUUUAGGGCUAGCCUCAUACGAGUCUUGCGGAGGUAGAGCACUGAAUUCCUAAGGGGGCGUCAAAGCUUACUAAGGGAUAUCAAACUCCGAAUGCCGUGUAGAUGAUGUAUGGGAGUCAGACGAUCCGAGAUAAGUUGGGUGGUCAAAAGGGAAAGAGCCCAGACCAACAGCUAAGGCCCCAAAAUGUGUGUUAAGUGGAAAAGGAUGUGGGAUUUCGAAGACAACUAGGAUGUUGGCUCAGAAGCAGCCAUUCAUUCAAAGAGUGCGUAAUAGCUCACUAGUCGAGAGGUCCUGCGCCGAAAAUGUCCGGGGCUAAAACACACUGCCGAAGCUUUGGAAUUGAGAAUUCAAUUGGUAGAGGAGCAUUCUUAAAGGGACGAAGCAGUACCGUAAGGAGCUGUGGACUUUUAAGAAGAGAGAAUGCCGGAAUGAGUAGCGAGAGGAAGGUGGGAAUCCUUCCGGCCGAAUAUCUAAGGUUUCCAGAGUAAAGCUGAUCUGCUCUGGGUAAGUCGGGGCCUAAGGCGAGGUCGAAAGACGUAGUCGAUGGAUAACAGGUUGAAAUUCCUGUACUAUCCUGUAACAGAACUGUGGGGACACAGGCAGAGAGCGUGAGCCGGGAAUGGAAAGACCGGUACAAGCGAGGUAGGAGUCUGGUUGGCAAAUCCGCCAGGCAAUCUGAAGACGUGAUGUGGACUGAAAAUAAGUAGGGAAGCACGUGAGCUGACUGUCAAGAAAAGCCGCUAUUGUUUGCAGGAUACCCGUACCGUAAACCGACACAGGUGGAUGAGGAGAGAAUCCUAAGGCCGACGGGAGAAGCAUUGUUAAGGAACUCGGCAAAAUGACUCCGUAACUUCGGGAGAAGGAGUGCCAGUAAGAUGGCCGCAGAGAAUUGGCCCAAGCAACUGUUUAGCAAAAACACAGGUCUAUGCAAAACCGAAAGGUGAGGUAUAUGGGCUGACGCCUGCCCGGUGCUGGAAGGUUAAGGGGAGAGGUUAGCGCAAGCGAAGCUUUGAACUUAAGCCCCAGUAAACGGCGGCCGUAACUAUAACGGUCCUAAGGUAGCGAAAUUCCUUGUCGGGUAAGUUCCGACCCGCACGAAAGGCGUAAUGAUUUGGGCACUGUCUCAACAAUGCACCCGGUGAAAUUGAAAUACCAGUGAAGAUGCUGGUUACCUGCGCCAGGACGGAAAGACCCCAUGGAGCUUUACUCCAGCUUGAUACUGGGAUUCGGUAUUGCAUGUACAGGAUAGGUGGGAGGCUAGGAAAUGGUAACGCCAGUUGCCAUGGAGCCGCUGUUGGGAUACCACCCUUGCAGUACUGGGUUUCUAACCAGCAGCCGUGAUCCGGCUGGGGGACAAUGUCAGGUGGGGAGUUUGACUGGGGCGGUCGCCUCCGAAAGGGUAUCGGAGGCGCUCAAAGGUUCCCUCAGAAUGGUUGGAAACCAUUCGAAGAGUGCAAAGGCAGAAGGGAGCUUGACUGCGACACCGACGGGUGGAGCAGGUACGAAAGUAGGACUUAGUGAUCCGGUGGUAUA